GACGAACGCUGGCGGCGUGCUUAACACAUGCAAGUCGAACGGAAAGGCCCUGCUUUUGUGGGGUGCUCGAGUGGCGAACGGGUGAGUAACACGUGAGUAACCUGCCCUUGACUUUGGGAUAACUUCAGGAAACUGGGGCUAAUACCGGAUAGGAGCUCCUGCUGCAUGGUGGGGGUUGGAAAGUUUCGGCGGUUGGGGAUGGACUCGCGGCUUAUCAGCUUGUUGGUGGGGUAGUGGCUUACCAAGGCUUUGACGGGUAGCCGGCCUGAGAGGGUGACCGGCCACCUUGGGACUGAGAUACGGCCCAGACGCCUACGGGAGGCAGCAGGGGGGAAUAUUGCACAAUGGGCGGAAGCCUGAUGCAGCAACGCCGCGUGCGGGAUGACGGCCUUCGGGUUGUAAACCGCUUUCGCCUGUGACGAAGCGUGAGUGACGGUAAUGGGUAAAGAAGCACCGGCUAACUACGUG
Molecule: ribosomal RNA, 468 nt
Filed under: uncultured bacterium
Lineage: Bacteria
Description: partial 16S ribosomal RNA
Rfam family: Bacterial small subunit ribosomal RNA
Source: RNAcentral